AUCCCAUGAUGUGGACAUCUUCUCAGUAGUUCUUUAAAUCUCUCCUAAGCUUCAUACAAGGAUUCAGCUUCAAAUUGUGUGAAUGAGGUUAUAUUAUUCCUCAUCUU
This 107-nucleotide small nucleolar RNA is filed under the name Theobroma cacao (cacao). RNAcentral describes it as "Plant small nucleolar RNA R71". It matches the Rfam family "Plant small nucleolar RNA R71". From Rfam's summary of the family: R71 is a member of the C/D box family of snoRNAs containing the C (UGAUGA) and D (CUGA) box motifs. Multiple nearly identical copies of this snoRNA have been identified in Arabidopsis, and it is thought to function as a 2'-O-ribose methylation guide for 18S ribosomal RNA. The record is from Rfam by way of RNAcentral. Lineage: Eukaryota; Viridiplantae; Streptophyta; Magnoliopsida; Malvales; Malvaceae.